Molecule: transfer RNA, 23 nt
Filed under: Paleosuchus palpebrosus (Cuvier's dwarf caiman)
Lineage: Eukaryota; Metazoa; Chordata; Crocodylia; Alligatoridae
Description: partial tRNA-Trp
Source: RNAcentral
AAGAAAUUAGGUUCAAACUUUAA